GGAAGCGUCGCAUAGUGGUCGAGUGCGCUCGCUUGGAAAGCGGGUAAGGUGAAAGCCUUCGAGGGUUCGAAUCCCUCCGCUUCCGCCA
This 88-nucleotide transfer RNA is filed under the name Patescibacteria group bacterium. Its description in RNAcentral is "tRNA-Ser". It matches the Rfam family "tRNA". Rfam says of the family: Transfer RNA (tRNA) molecules are approximately 80 nucleotides in length. Their secondary structure includes four short double-helical elements and three loops (D, anti-codon, and T loops). The record is from RNAcentral.